CCUACGGGAGGCAGCAGUGAGGAAUAUUGGUCAAUGGGCGCUAGCCUGAACCAGCCAAGUAGCGUGAAGGAUGACUGCCCUACGGGUUGUAAACUUCUUUUAUAUGGGAAUAAAGUGCGGUAUGUAUACCUUUUUGCAUGUACUUUAUGAAUAAGGAUCGGCUAACUCCGUGCCAGCAGCCGCGGUAAUACGGAGGAUCCGAGCGUUAUCCGGAUUUAUUGGGUUUAAAGGGAGCGUAGACGGGUUGUUAAGUCAGUUGUGAAAGUUUGCGGCUCAACCGUAAAAUUGCAGUUGAUACUGGCAGCCUUGAGUACAGUAGAGGUAGGCGGAAUUCGUGGUGUAGCGGUGAAAUGCUUAGAUAUCACGAAGAACUCCGAUUGCGAAGGCAGCCUACUAGACUGUAACUGACACUGAUGCUCGAAAGUGUGGGUAUCAAACAGGAUUAGAUACCCGGGUAGUC
This 460-nucleotide ribosomal RNA is filed under the name uncultured bacterium. RNAcentral's name for it is "partial 16S ribosomal RNA". It matches the Rfam family "Bacterial small subunit ribosomal RNA", at positions 338 to 795 of the family's 1533-position model. The record is from RNAcentral.